GGCUCGAUAGCUCAGUUGGUUAGAGCGACGGAUUCAUAACCCGUAGGUCGGCAGUUCGAAUCUGCCUCGAGCCA
This 74-nucleotide transfer RNA is filed under the name Fodinisporobacter ferrooxydans. RNAcentral's name for it is "Alicyclobacillaceae bacterium MYW30-H2 tRNA-Met". It matches the Rfam family "tRNA". From Rfam's summary of the family: Transfer RNA (tRNA) molecules are approximately 80 nucleotides in length. Their secondary structure includes four short double-helical elements and three loops (D, anti-codon, and T loops). Further hydrogen bonds mediate the characteristic L-shaped molecular structure. tRNAs have two regions of fundamental functional importance: the anti-codon, which is responsible for specific mRNA codon recognition, and the 3' end, to which the tRNAs corresponding amino acid is attached (by aminoacyl-tRNA synthetases). tRNAs cope with the degeneracy of the genetic code in two manners: having more than one tRNA (with a specific anti-codon) for a particular amino acid; and 'wobble' base-pairing, i.e. permitting non-standard base-pairing at the 3rd anti-codon position. The record is from RNAcentral. Lineage: Bacteria; Bacillati; Bacillota; Bacilli; Caryophanales; Alicyclobacillaceae.